Molecule: long non-coding RNA, 552 nt
Organism: Thalassophryne amazonica
Lineage: Eukaryota; Metazoa; Chordata; Actinopteri; Batrachoidiformes; Batrachoididae
Exons: 3
Source: RefSeq, a predicted model, not a curated record
CCUUGAGCCCUGACAUACACAAAAACAAUACAGCACCGGAAAUCUUCAUCACUGUGACAUGUUGGCCAGAAUGGCAAAAAAAAAAAAAUCCCUCCUCAUUUCAUAUGUAACAAAGCUGAUGGUGACACUUUUCAAUGUCUGCAGGACUUUGGCCGAGAGAUCGACGGACUCUGCUCCUUUCUCAGUUUGUCUCCUUCAGCUGAGGAGAAGGAAAAAAUCAUGAUGGGAACAAAGUUUGAAAAUAUGAAACAAAACAAAAUGGCAAAUUAUUCAAUGAUUGAAAUUAUGGAUCAGACUGUGUCUCCAUUCAUGAGAAAAGGGAAAGUUGGUGACUGGAAAAACCAUUUCACUGUGGCACAGAAUGAAAUGUUUGAUGAAGACUACAAGCAGAAAAUGAGGAAUCCUGCACUGGAGUUUCAUACAGAGCUUUAAGGAAUCUUGACCAGAUGGUGCAUAAUGAAAUUCUCAAUUGAUGUUUGAUUAAUUUGUUUAAAAUGUUGAUGUUACUGAGCCACUUGUUCAACUUGUUUCAUAGUCAUGUCACUCCAGUCA